AGCAGUAGCCGCGGGAAUACGUAGGUGGCAAGCGUUGUCCGGAAUUAUUGGACGUAAAGCGCGCGCAGGCGGCCUAUCCAGUCUGUCUUAAAAGUUCGGGGCUCAACCCCGUGAUGGGAUGGAAACUAGUAGGCUAGAGUAUCGGAGAGGAAAGCGGAAUUCCUAGUGUAGCGGUGAAAUGCGUAGAUAUUAGGAAGAACACCAGUGGCGAAGGCGGCUUUCUGGACGAAAACUGACGCUGAGGCGCGAAAGCCAGGGGAGCGAACGGGAUUAGAUACCCGCGUAGUCCCUGUCUCUUAUACC
This 303-nucleotide ribosomal RNA is filed under the name uncultured bacterium. RNAcentral describes it as "partial 16S ribosomal RNA". It matches the Rfam family "Bacterial small subunit ribosomal RNA", at positions 507 to 808 of the family's 1533-position model. The record is from RNAcentral.